This 77-nucleotide transfer RNA is filed under the name Pseudomonadota bacterium. RNAcentral's name for it is "Proteobacteria bacterium tRNA-Arg". It matches the Rfam family "tRNA". From Rfam's summary of the family: Transfer RNA (tRNA) molecules are approximately 80 nucleotides in length. Their secondary structure includes four short double-helical elements and three loops (D, anti-codon, and T loops). The record is from RNAcentral. Lineage: Bacteria; Pseudomonadati; Pseudomonadota.
GACUCCAUAGCUCAGUUGGAUAGAGCAUCUGCCUUCUAAGCAGAGGGCCGCUGGUUCGAAUCCAGCUGGAGUCACCA